RNAcentral lists this ribosomal RNA (492 nucleotides) under uncultured bacterium. Its description in RNAcentral is "partial 16S ribosomal RNA". It matches the Rfam family "Bacterial small subunit ribosomal RNA", at positions 30 to 523 of the family's 1533-position model. The record is from RNAcentral.
AUUGAACGCUGGCGGCAGGCCUAACACAUGCAAGUCGAGCGAACCUAGCUUGCCAGGUGAGCGGCGAACGGGUGAGUAACGCGUAGGAAUCUGCCUGGUAGUGGGGGACAACGUUCCGAAAGGAACGCUAAUACCGCAUACGCCCUACGGGGGAAAGCAGGGGAUCUUCGGACCUUGCGCUAUCAGAUGAGCCUGCGUCGGAUGAGCUAGUUGGUAGGGUAAAGGCCUACCAAGGCGACGAUCCGUAACUGGUCUGAGAGGAUGAUCAGUCACACCGGGACUGAGACACGGUCCGGACUCCUACGGGAGGCAGCAGUGGGGAAUAUUGGACAAUGGGGGCAACCCUGAUCCAGCCAUGCUGCGUGUGUGAAGAAGGCCUUCGGGUUGUAAAGCACUUUAGGUCGGGAGGAAGGUUCGCUGGCUAAUAUCCAGCGGAAUUGACGUUACCGACAGAAUAAGCACCGGCUAACUCCGUGCCAGCAGCCGCCGUAA